Molecule: ribosomal RNA, 244 nt
Filed under: uncultured bacterium
Lineage: Bacteria
Description: partial 16S ribosomal RNA
Rfam family: Bacterial small subunit ribosomal RNA
Source: RNAcentral
UCGAGCGCCCGGGCAACCGGGAGCGGCGGACGGGUGAGUAACACGUGGGAACAUGCCCUUCGGUACGGAACAACUCAGGGAAACUUGAGCUAAUACCGUAUGCGCCGGCAACGGGAAAGAUUUAUCGCCGAAGGAUUGGCCCGCGUCCGAUUAGCUAGUUGGUGAGGUAACGGCCCACCAAGGCACCGAUCGGUAGCUGGUUUGAGAGAACGACCAGCCACACUGGGACUGAGACACGGCCCAG